Hordeum vulgare subsp. vulgare (domesticated barley) is the source of this 121-nucleotide non-coding RNA. The record is from Rfam. Lineage: Eukaryota; Viridiplantae; Streptophyta; Magnoliopsida; Poales; Poaceae.
AUUAUACUCCCUCCGUCUCAAAAUUCUUGUCUUAGAAGGCAUCUAGUCACAUUUUAGUAUUUAGAUACAUUCAUCUCUAGACAAAGCUAAGACAAGAAUUUUGAGACGGAGGGAGUACAUA